This 200-nucleotide small RNA is filed under the name Carnobacterium maltaromaticum. RNAcentral's name for it is "Magnesium sequence". It matches the Rfam family "M-box riboswitch aptamer (ykoK leader)". From Rfam's summary of the family: M-box riboswitch, also know as ykoK leader is described as a metaloregulatory RNA that sense divalent metals and function as a genetic control element of genes related to divalent metal transport in bacteria. It was first reported upstream of the B.subtilis ykoK gene and genes with related functions in other bacteria. Phylogenetic analysis of the distribution of M-box RNAs across bacterial genomes revealed that M-box riboswitches are most often employed for the regulation of Mg2+ transporter genes Lineage: Bacteria; Bacillati; Bacillota; Bacilli; Lactobacillales; Carnobacteriaceae. The record is from RNAcentral. RNAcentral also lists the same sequence under 1 other name.
ACACGCUUCUGUUAGGUGAGGCUCCUAUAUGGAAAAUGCUGCUGCCCUGCACAUAUCGAGAGACAUGUGUAGCAAAAUGUUUAACAUCUUAUAAUAAGAUGGAAUGGGUCAACAGAAAUGGUCGAAUUAAGGUCAUUUUUAAUGUAGCUGAUGAAUAAUCUACGCCAUAUAGUGCUAAAGCUCAAUGAUGGAGAAUACUA